This 652-nucleotide ribosomal RNA is filed under the name uncultured Pseudomonadota bacterium. RNAcentral's name for it is "bacterial SSU rRNA". It matches the Rfam family "Bacterial small subunit ribosomal RNA", at positions 68 to 709 of the family's 1533-position model. Lineage: Bacteria; Pseudomonadati; Pseudomonadota. The record is from RNAcentral.
GGUAACAGGAAACAGCUUGCUGUUUCGCUGACGAGUGGCGGACGGGUGAGUAAUGUCUGGGAAACUGCCUGAUGGAGGGGGAUAACUACUGGAAACGGUAGCUAAUACCGCAUAACGUCGCAAGACCAAAGAGGGGGACCUUCGGGCCUCUUGCCAUCGGAUGUGCCCAGAUGGGAUUAGCUAGUAGGUGGGGUAACGGCUCACCUAGGCGACGAUCCCUAGCUGGUCUGAGAGGAUGACCAGCCACACUGGAACUGAGACACGGUCCAGACUCCUACGGGAGGCAGCAGUGGGGAAUAUUGCACAAUGGGCGCAAGCCUGAUGCAGCCAUGCCGCGUGUAUGAAGAAGGCCUUCGGGUUGUAAAGUACUUUCAGCGGGGAGGAAGGGAGUAAAGUUAAUACCUUUGCUCAUUGACGUUACCCGCAGAAGAAGCACCGGCUAACUCCGUGCCAGCAGCCGCGGUAAUACGGAGGGUGCAAGCGUUAAUCGGAAUUACUGGGCGUAAAGCGCACGCAGGCGGUUUGUUAAGUCAGAUGUGAAAUCCCCGGGCUCAACCUGGGAACUGCAUCUGAUACUGGCAAGCUUGAGUCUCGUAGAGGGGGGUAGAAUUCCAGGUGUAGCGGUGAAAUGCGUAGAGAUCUGGAGGAAUAC